AUUUUAAUGAUGUCACAAUGUAGAACCCUAAACGUUUGCUCUGAAUUGAAAGAGUACUAUUUAUGAGAUUUAACAAAAAGUGAUUAACAAAAAAAGAGUUGUUACACUUCCCACGUUGGUGACCUACUUGAAUCAAAAUGCAACACUUCAAAAUGUAGAGAUCUGUUUUCUACAAAUUGUCCUCUAACCAGUGAUGUUAACAUUAUUCCCAGAUUUGGUGUGGGUUUUGAGCUGUUAGUUUUAACAGGACGUGCAACCUCAUCUCCCUCUCGCACAAAUUAUUUUUAGCAUGAUAUCGAUGAGUUAUGACAAAUAAGUGUUGCGUUCCUUUGUUUAGUGACCCCUACAUUUAAAUGCAUCACUCCAAAAUAUAGCUGACUGUCCUCUAAUCAGUGAGGUAAAAUAUAUCUCCCAUUUCCAUGUGUUUUUUUUUAGUUGUGUUAGUUUCAACAGCACGAACAACCUGAUUUCCACCCUAAUUGAUAUCAGUGAUUUAUUGCUAUUUGACAAAACAACAGCGUUUUUGGUGCUUGUGCAGUUUAUAAGGAGCUUGUUUAAAUAAAUACAAGUAAUAUGA
Non-coding RNA from Salvelinus sp. IW2-2015, 577 nucleotides. The record is from RefSeq and is a predicted model, not a curated record. NCBI's taxonomy places the organism in Eukaryota, Metazoa, Chordata, Actinopteri, Salmoniformes, Salmonidae.